This 205-nucleotide long non-coding RNA is filed under the name Gossypium barbadense (sea-island cotton). RNAcentral's name for it is "long non-coding RNA (GBAR_LNC004586)". Lineage: Eukaryota; Viridiplantae; Streptophyta; Magnoliopsida; Malvales; Malvaceae. The record is from RNAcentral.
GUGGUUCCAGGUGAAGGACACCAUGUAGAUAAGAGAGCUACGAGAUAAAUUGGCUAGGUCACAUGGGUGGUAUUGAGUGUUCACCAUGUGUACAAGAGAGCCGAACUAUAUGAUGGGUGGAGCUAUGUGCUGAAACAACCAAGUAUCGAGGAUUGAUUCGAAGUGUUCAACGGGAGACUCUCUAUGUAUUGCUUUGUGAGUUUUG